UGUAUGUGAGUGUGUGAGUGAGAGAAAAAGUGUGUGUGUAUGAGUGCGUGGAUGUGUGCAUGUGUGUGUGUGUAUGUGUGAGUGACUGGGUGUGAGAGAGUGUGCGUGCAUAGGUCUGUGAGUGCGUGUGCAUGAGUAAACAUGAGUGUAUGUAUUUGUGAGUGCGUGUGCAUGACUGAGAGAGAAAGGGUGUGUGUGAGAG
Long non-coding RNA from Anguilla rostrata (American eel), 202 nucleotides. RefSeq lists it as uncharacterized. Lineage: Eukaryota; Metazoa; Chordata; Actinopteri; Anguilliformes; Anguillidae. The transcript has 2 exons. The record is from RefSeq and is a predicted model, not a curated record.